RNAcentral lists this long non-coding RNA (241 nucleotides) under Prunus persica (peach). RNAcentral's name for it is "long non-coding RNA (PPER_LNC006414)". Lineage: Eukaryota; Viridiplantae; Streptophyta; Magnoliopsida; Rosales; Rosaceae. The record is from RNAcentral.
UUUUAUUUUUCCUCCUUCUUCCUCUUUCUAUCACUACUACGAUUUACUAUUUGCGCGACGGAAGUUUGCGCGACGAACAUAUUUUCGUUGCGCAAAAAUCACUAUUGCGACGAAAAAAAAAUACCGUAGCGCAAACAGCAGAACACUAGCGCGACGAAACAUCUUCGUCGCGCAAACAAUCUAUGCGCGACCAAAACUAAUUUGGUCGAGCAAAAGUCGGGGAAAAAACCCCGGUUUUUUU